RNAcentral lists this ribosomal RNA (253 nucleotides) under uncultured bacterium. Its description in RNAcentral is "partial 16S ribosomal RNA". It matches the Rfam family "Bacterial small subunit ribosomal RNA", at positions 524 to 776 of the family's 1533-position model. The record is from RNAcentral.
UACGUAGGGGGCAAGCGUUAUCCGGAUUUACUGGGUGUAAAGGGAGCGUAGACGGAAUUGCAAGUCUGAUGUGAAAAUCCGGGGCCCAACCCCGGAACUGCAUUGGAAACUGUAUUUCUAGAGUGUCGGAGAGGCAAGUGGAAUUCCUGGUGUAGCGGUGAAAUGCGUAGGUAUCAGGAGGAACACCAGUGGCGAAGGCGGCUUGCUGGACGAUGACUGACGUUGAGGCUCGAAAGCGUGGGGAGCAAACAGG